This 423-nucleotide ribosomal RNA is filed under the name Triticum aestivum (bread wheat). RNAcentral describes it as "partial small subunit ribosomal RNA". Lineage: Eukaryota; Viridiplantae; Streptophyta; Magnoliopsida; Poales; Poaceae. The record is from RNAcentral.
AUGAUAUGCUCACUGGGUAAGAAUACACAUUUUUCUAAGGCCAACUUGUGUGUGAUAACUCGUGACAGCACACAGAUGUGGCUGCCAUCGGAGGAGUGUAGCGCCAUGGAGCUUCAGCCCGAGUUGCUCGGCGGAGCAAUAUCUUUCCGUGUCGCCUCCCCAUCACGACUGCCUAUGGAAGUGACAGCCAACGGCCUGUCUCCAUGUGCUAUGGUGGUGGCCGGCAGCAACGCCCUUGAGCAUCACCAUGGAGCGGGCCCGCGGCCCCGACGAGGUCUCUUCCUCCUGCACGGCAAACGGCCAGUCAUGUGUGUAGUCACUUACCCAGUUAGCAUGGUUAAACACAAUACCAUCUCAAAUCAUGAGCAAAACCAAGCUAGGGGAAGAUUUAUCCGGUUUUGCAGAUUUGAGGGCCUUAAAUAA